Molecule: long non-coding RNA, 2869 nt
Filed under: Lathyrus oleraceus (garden pea)
Lineage: Eukaryota; Viridiplantae; Streptophyta; Magnoliopsida; Fabales; Fabaceae
Description: Pisum sativum (pea) long non-coding RNA (PSAT_LNC039656)
Source: RNAcentral
UCAAAUAUCAUGGAUUUAAUUGCAACAUUUUCAUCAUUCCCACAAUUCAAUCAAAUAUCAUGGGUUUAACAGUAACAUUUUCAUCAUUCCUACAAUUCAAUCACAUUUCAUGGGUUUAACAAUAACAUUUUCAUCAUUCACAAAAUUCUAUCAAAUUGCAUGGGUUUAAAAAUAAAAUCUUCAUCAUUCACACAAUUCAAUCAAAUUUCAUGGGUUUAACAACAACAUUUUCAUAAUUCACACAAUUCAUUCAAAUUUCAUGGAUUUAAUAGCAACAUUUUCAUCAUUCCCACAAUUCAAUCAAAUUUCAUGGGUUUAACAACAAAAUUUUCAUCAUUCACACAAUUCAAUCAAAUUUCAUGGGUUUAACAACAACAUUUUCAUAAUUCACACAAUUCAAUCAAAUUUCAUGGAUUUAACAACAAAAUCAUCAUCAUUCACACAAUUCAAUCAAAUUUCAUGGGUUUAACAACAACAUUUUCAUAAUUCACACAAUUCAUUCAAAUUUCAUGGAUUUAAUAGCAACAUUUUCAUCAUUCCCACAAUUCAAUCAAAUUUCAUGGGUUUAACAACAACAUUUUCAUCAUUCACACAAUUCAAUCAAAUUUCAUGGGUUUAACAACAACAUUUUCAUAAUUCACACAAUUCAAUCAAAUUUCAUGGAUUUAACAACAAAAUCAUCAUCAUUCACACAAUUCAAUCAAAUUUCAUGGGUUUAACAACAACAUUUUCAUAAUUCACAAAAUUCAUUCAAAUUUCAUUGAUUUAAUAGCAACAUUUUCAUCAUUCCCACAAUUCAAUCAAAUUUCAUGGGUUUAACAACAAAAUUUUCAUCAUUCACACAAUUCAAUCAAAUUUCAUGGGUUUAACAACAACAUUUUCAUAAUUCACACAAUUCAUUCAAAUUUCAUGGAUUUAAUAGCAACAUUUUCAUCAUUCCCACAAUUCAAUCAAAUUUCAUGGGUUUAACAACAACAUUUUCAUCAUUCACACAAUUCAAUCAAAUUUCAUGGGUUUAACAACAACAUUUUCAUCAUUCACACAAUUCAAUCAAAUUUCAUGGGUUUAACAACAACAUUUUCAUCAUUCACACAAUUCAAUCAAAUUUCAUGGGUUUAACAACAACAUUUUCAUCAUUCACACAAUUCAAUCAAAUUUCAUGGGUUUAACAACAACAUUUUCAUCAUUCACACAAUUCAAUCAAAUUUCAUGGGUUUAACAACAACAUUUUCAUCAUUCACACAAUUCAAUCAAAUUUCAUGGGUUUAACAACAACAUUUUCAUCAUUCACACAAUUCAAUCAAAUUUCAUGGGUUUAACAACAACAUUUUCAUCAUUCACACAAUUCAAUCAAAUUUCAUGGGUUUAACAACAACAUUUUCAUCAUUCACACAAUUCAAUCAAAUUUCAUGGGUUUAACAACAACAUUUUCAUCAUUCACACAAUUCAAUCAAAUUUCAUGGGUUUAACAACAACAUUUUCAUCAUUCACACAAUUCAAUCAAAUUUCAUGGGUUUAACAACAACAUUUUCAUCAUUCACACAAUUCAAUCAAAUUUCAUGGGUUUAACAACAACAUUUUCAUCAUUCACAAAAUUCAAUCAAAUUUCAUGGGUUUAACAACAACAUUUUCAUCAUUCACACAAUUCAAUCAAAUUUCAUGGGUUUAACAACAACAUUUUCAUCAUUCACACAAUUCAAUCAAAUUUCAUGGGUUUAACAACAACAUUUUCAUCAUUCACACAAUUCAAUCAAAUUUCAUGGGUUUAACAACAACAUUUUCAUCAUUCACACAAUUCAAUCAAAUUUCAUGGGUUUAACAACAACAUUUUCAUCAUUCACACAAUUCAAUCAAAUUUCAUGGGUUUAACAACAACAUUUUCAUCAUUCACACAAUUCAAUCAAAUUUCAUGGGUUUAACAACAACAUUUUCAUCAUUCACACAAUUCAAUCAAAUUUCAUGGGUUUAACAACAACAUUUUCAUCAUUCACACAAUUCAAUCAAAUUUCAUGGGUUUAACAACAACAUUUUCAUCAUUCACACAAUUCAAUCAAAUUUCAUGGGUUUAACAACAACAUUUUCAUCAUUCACACAAUUCAAUCAAAUUUCAUGGGUUUAACAACAACAUUUUCAUCAUUCACACAAUUCAAUCAAAUUUCAUGGGUUUAACAACAACAUUUUCAUCAUUCACACAAUUCAAUCAAAUUUCAUGGGUUUAACAACAACAUUUUCAUCAUUCACACAAUUCAUUCAAAUUUCAUGGAUUUAAUAGCAACAUUUUCAUCAUUCCCACAAUUCAAUCAAAUAUCAUGGGUUUAACAGUAACAUUUUCAUCAUUCCCACAAUUCAAUCAAAUAUCAUGGGUUUAACAGUAACAUUUUCAACAACAAAAUUUCAUUGGUUUAACAAUAACAUUUUCAUCAUUCACAAAAUUCUAUCAAAUUUCAUGGGUAUAACAACAACAUUUUCAUUAUUCACAAAAUUCUAUCAAAUUUCAUGGUUUUAACAGUAACAUUUUCUUCAUUUCCACAAUUCAUUUAAAUUUCAUGGGUUAAACAGCAACAAUUUCAUCAUUCCCACAAUUCAAUCAAAUUUCAUGGGUUUAACAACAAAAUCAUCAUCAUUCACACAAUUCAAUCAAAUUUCAUGGGUUUAACAACAAGAUUUUCAUAAUUCACAAAAUUCAUUCAAAUAUCAUGGAUUUAACAGUAACAUUUUCAUCAUUCCUACAAUUCAAUCAAAUUUCAUGGGUUUAACAAUAACAUUUUCAUCAUUCACAAAAUUCUAUCAAAUUGCAUGCGUUUAAAAAUAAAAUCUUCAUCAUUCACACAAUUCAAUCAAAUUUCAUGGGUUUAACAACAACAAUUUC